This is a non-coding RNA of Camellia sinensis, 183 nucleotides long. The record is from RefSeq and is a predicted model, not a curated record. NCBI's taxonomy places the organism in Eukaryota, Viridiplantae, Streptophyta, Magnoliopsida, Ericales, Theaceae.
GGUUACUCUAAUCUUCUCAACAUCACUGCCUUCCCCUGCUACAGUGACUGUGCCCUUGGUUCUGACUGUGAAAAGCUUGGAAUUAAGGUUUCAAACUCAACGUCUUCAAGCAAUAGCAAUCAAGGUUCCUCAUUUCUGCCAGGAACAUUCCAUUGGAUAGCUAUCUCUCUCAUGUCCAUCGCG